AUUAACCAAUUUAAAGUCCUGUAAACUCAGGUGCAACCAAUCAUAACGAGCUUGAGGAAGUAUGGUAAAUUUUUGGAAGUCAUAUCUUUCUUUUAGAUUUCUCCAUAGAACAAAAGAAUAUUUUAUUAUGAGAUAUUCGACUUUCAAUCCUUUAUGGAGAUGGUGACGAAUGAAAAUCAUUAUUUUUGUGCAAUCCUACAAGGAUACACUAUUUCUUUGAUG
RNAcentral lists this long non-coding RNA (222 nucleotides) under Populus tremula. RNAcentral describes it as "long non-coding RNA (PTRE_LNC000209)". The record is from RNAcentral. Lineage: Eukaryota; Viridiplantae; Streptophyta; Magnoliopsida; Malpighiales; Salicaceae.